GAACGCCUCUAAGUCAGAAUCCGUGCUAGAAACGAUGAUGUUGGUCCCGCACAUUUGACUUGAGUUGAAGUAGAGCUUUGCUCGUGAACCAAAUCAGGUGGGCUUGGCUGUCUUUGCGGAAAUGCUUUGGCAGCUUGUCUACGAAUUGUAAUCAUAAUAUGGGCGGGGGUGAAUCCUUUGCAGACGACUUGAAUGGGAACGGGGUACUGUAAGCGGUAGAGUAGCCUUGUUGCUACGAUCCGCUGAGGUUAAGCCCUUGUUCUAAAGAUUUGUUCAACUUUGUUGAACUCUUUUUCUUUUUCUUUUUUUUCCUUCUCAUGCACUCACAUGAGGGCCGGUCUUUUUGACUUGGGCACCAGUGGUGGCAUGUGGACAUGGAUUAAAAGAUGGCCAGAUCAGGUUAGGUUAGGUUAAUAAGGUAAGUAGGGUAAGUAAAAAGUCGGACAUGACUCCAUUCAAUGAAUGGAUCAAAAGGAUGUUAUAGAUGUAAUAGUUAUCCACGGCCAUAGGACUCUGAAAGCACCGCAUCCCGUCUGAU
Molecule: ribosomal RNA, 538 nt
Filed under: Diehliomyces microsporus
Lineage: Eukaryota; Fungi; Ascomycota; Pezizomycetes; Pezizales; Pyronemataceae
Source: RNAcentral